CUUUUAGUCCAGCGACAACGUCAAAUAUGUCAGCUUGGGGAUUUAGUUCUUGAAGUUUUCUAACUGCUGUUUGUGAAGUGUUUCCACUGCGGCAAAUAACACAGACUUUUCCGGAUAAAUUUUGCAGUGAGUCGACUUCACUUAAGGGAAUAUUUUUAAAUAAAGGAAGACGGCAUAUUCCAAAUUGUACUGGCUCACGAACAUCUAGGAAAGUAAUAUGAGGUGAUGUUUCAAUUAAAUUUUUUAAAUCCAGCGCAGAAAUCCUUCUGAUAGGAGCUAAUUGUUUAGAUAACGUAGGAACAUAAUCACAAAUGGUAGUGUAUUCUUUGGGAGAAGAUUCCAUAAAUUCUCGACUAAGCAUUUUGUUCGGACCACAGGCCUUGCAGCUUUGUUGGCGUGGGCGGAUGCGAAUAUGCUUCCAUUGAGGGACUUUGAAUGCAUGAAAAAGGAGCAUAUAUGGAUCGAACUGAUCUUUUUUUAUUCCAUUUAUAUGCAAAAUCAGUUUUACCGUUUCUAAAGCUUGCAUCGUCCCCAUCGUGCCAACAACUGGACCAAGGAUACCAGAUUUAGCACAACUCGCAACAACUGGUGUGGGAUUUGGGAACAUACAACGAUAACAGGGACCAUUACAAUAAUUGUAAAUACAUAAUUGUCCUUCUAAUUUUAAGGCUGAAGCGGAAACCAAUGGCCUGCCUAGAAGAACGCAAGUGUCCGAAAUUAAAUACCUUGUAUACUGAUUAUCCGUGCAAUCCAAAACCACAUCAUACUGUUCGAUUAUACUAAACAGAUUUGAAGCACUCGCAAAUUCCAAGUAAGUAUUAAUAAUUACAUUAGGGUUAAGACUAAGCGUUAGAAAAACAAUUGUACACAAAAUAAUUUCACAUACUCUUCUAAAAAUUGCUUUGCAGAUAUAGCUUUGUGCAUUCCUUGUUUACUAGUAGAAUGAAUGAUUUGACGAUGCAAAUUGCUUUUGUCAACAACAUCUCCAUCCAUGAUCCCUAAAGUUCCAAUUCCUGCAGCGACUAAAUAUUGCAUGGCAGGACAUCCAAGGCCGCCUGCUCCAAUUACCAGAACUGAAGACCUUUUAAGAGAUAAUUGACCUAUUGGUUAGAAAACUGAUUUAAAAAAGUAGCAGACUCCGAAGACUAGAUUAUCAAAUUUAGAUUAUUCUAAUCAAUAAGCUUUCAUUAUAACAUUUCGGUAAGUUAACAUAAAAAUGUUUCAAUUAUUAAUAUGUCCAUCUUGAAAGAAGCUCUUAAAUUCAAUAUUGAACUGGAUUAAGAGUUUUAAAAAAUUUGAUAACUUCUGAAAGUACUUAACAUACCUGGAAGACCUAUCUCAGAAAGCAGCAUUUGACGUCCAUAUCGGGAAUACUCGUCGAGCGACAAUUCCAACCCAUUGCUUGAGCAAAUUAUUUUCUCUUGUGGAUUCAUCCUCUUCUUUUUUCUCACUCUUGCAGAAGUUGUACGAAUGCUUGAAAUUUCUGACACAGAAUUUCGUUUUCUAAAUAAUUAGCAGCUUAAAGACUUAAAGUUGCUGUCUACAGCUACACUAACAUACUUAACGUCAACUACAUUUUGUGUUACUUAUAUUAAUGUGCUAAUAAUCAUUUAAAUACAUUAAGCUA
This is a non-coding RNA of Schizosaccharomyces pombe (fission yeast), 1627 nucleotides long. The record is from the annotation of a GenBank genome assembly. Lineage: Eukaryota; Fungi; Ascomycota; Schizosaccharomycetes; Schizosaccharomycetales; Schizosaccharomycetaceae.